ACCAACAGCUGUAUCACCCUGAAGCUCACAGCUAACAGCCCCGCUGAAGCUCAGCAGGUGUGAGCCUGGCCAGUACCUGGAUGGGAAACUCCUGGGAAAACUAAGGUUGCUGCUGGAA
RNAcentral lists this ribosomal RNA (118 nucleotides) under Lepisosteus oculatus (spotted gar). Lineage: Eukaryota; Metazoa; Chordata; Actinopteri; Semionotiformes; Lepisosteidae. The record is from RNAcentral.